CCUCCGAUAGCUCAGUUGGCAGAGCGCGAGACUGUAAUGGGUUACCAGAGAAUCUUGAGGUCGCUAGUUCGAUCCUGGCUCGGAGGA
This is a non-coding RNA of Trametes punicea, 87 nucleotides long. The record is from the annotation of a GenBank genome assembly. Lineage: Eukaryota; Fungi; Basidiomycota; Agaricomycetes; Polyporales; Polyporaceae.